ACAAUAUAUAAACUUUGAAUUAACACAAUCUCGUGUUUCUUCGGUAUCAUCAUCUGAGUUGUCUUGGUGUACGUAACAAAAACAACAACAAAACAUUGUUGAACGAUUGUUGACUUGGGUAUUGUACGAAUAUUGCGAGCGAUAAAUUAAUUUUAGAAAAAUUAAAAAUGAAAAUAUAAUUAAACGGUCGAACCGCACGAACGGUUGAAAUACACAAAUUGAGUUGACCGCAUUAUAAUCUUUUGAUCGGCAAAAAAAAAAUUGCAUGUAAGACAGACAGGUCAUUAGCAAUCCACCGUAUUGUUCCACAUCUUCAAUGGUUCGGCAAA
This is a long non-coding RNA of Bradysia coprophila, 329 nucleotides long. Lineage: Eukaryota; Metazoa; Arthropoda; Insecta; Diptera; Sciaridae. The record is from RefSeq and is a predicted model, not a curated record.